Molecule: ribosomal RNA, 274 nt
Filed under: uncultured bacterium
Lineage: Bacteria
Description: partial 16S ribosomal RNA
Rfam family: Bacterial small subunit ribosomal RNA
Source: RNAcentral
AUACAGAGGGUGCGAGCGUUAAUCGGAAUUACUGGGCGUAAAGCGCGCGUAGGCGGCUUAUUAAGUCAGAUGUGAAAUCCCCGGGCUCAACCUGGGGACUGCAUCUGAUACUAGUAAGCUAGAGUUUUGGAGAGGGAAGUAGAAUUUCAGGUGUAGCGGUGAAAUGCAUAGAGAUCUGAAGGAAUACCAGUGGCGAAGGCGACUUCCUGGCCAAAAACUGACGCUGAGGUGCGAAAGCGUGGGUAGCAAACGGGAUUAGAAACCCUAGUAGUCC